CCUACGGGGUGCAGCAGUGAGGAAUAUUGGUCAAUGGGCGCGAGCCUGAACCAGCCAAGUAGCGUGAGGGAUGACUGCCCUACGGGUUGUAAACUUCUUUUAUAAAGGAAUAAAGUGAGGCACGUGUGCCUUUUUGUAUGUAAUUUAUGAAUAAGGAUCGGCUAACUCCGUGCCAGCAGCCGCGGUAAUACGGAGGAUCCGAGCGUUAUCCGGAUUUAUUGGGGUUAAAGGGGGCGGAGAUGGGUUGUUAAGUCAGUUGGGAAAGUUUGCGGCUCAACCGUAAAAUUGCAAUUGAUACUGGCAGUCUUGAGUACAGUUGAGGUAGGCGGAAUUCGUGGUGUAGCGGUGAAAUGCUUAGAUAUCACGAAGAACUCCGAUUGCGAAGGCAGCUUACUAAACUGCCACUGACAUUGAUGCUCGAAAGUGUGGGUAUCAAACAGGAUUAGAUACCCGGGUAGUC
This 460-nucleotide ribosomal RNA is filed under the name uncultured bacterium. RNAcentral's name for it is "partial 16S ribosomal RNA". It matches the Rfam family "Bacterial small subunit ribosomal RNA", at positions 338 to 795 of the family's 1533-position model. The record is from RNAcentral.